Non-coding RNA from Heterocephalus glaber (naked mole-rat), 4456 nucleotides. Lineage: Eukaryota; Metazoa; Chordata; Mammalia; Rodentia; Bathyergidae. The record is from RefSeq and is a predicted model, not a curated record.
GUUGCUUUAGGUGCUCUGGGAGUCUGGUUUUGAGACUUGUUUAUGUGUCUUCUCAUUUUGACAGGGGUGGGGGUGUUGAUGGUGCCUGUACGGUUCACCUCCUGUGUGCUGAGGGGGGUGGUAUGGCAGCCCAGAAGCCUCCUCCUGGGCACUGGGAGCAGUUCACCUCCUGUGUGUUGGGGGAAGGAGUGGUACGGCAGCCCGGAAGCCUCUUCCUGGGCGCUGGGAGUGGCUCACCUCCUGUGCACUCAAAGUUGAGGAUUCUUUGCAAGAGAGUCUUGCCAUGCCCAGAAUCCAAGCACUAUAACUUGGUAGUGGGCAGAGCUACCCCAUCAGAUGUUUUUCUUGUCAGAGAGCAUACUCUUUCACCCCUAAGGCAACUAAAAGCCCAGAUACCACACAAAACCUUGAGAAAUGUGUGCUUUUUUGGUCUUUGUAGCAAUUAGGAUUCUGACCACAUAUUUAUUGGAGAAGAGCUUUCUCUUUCAACUGAAGAUCUCUCCAAUCUCUUAAAUUUUGCCAAGAAUAAUAGUGUUUCUGAAGGAGGACAGUCCAACAAUAUUAUUAUUUCACUCUGGUCAAGGAAUCUUCCCAUUCAAAAACAAACAUGUUCUGGAAGUCAGGGCCCAAGGAAAUACAAAAAAAAAGUUGCAUCUUUGGGUCCACCACUAUCAUCUUAGGACAAGGUGAUAAGUAAGGUACAAGUGUUGGGCAUCAAUGGAUGGAUGGCUGUCCCUGUCUGUUUAAUUUUCCUUAAAUUCUGCAUAAAGACUCCCUCCCAUGUGUCUGGCUUUUGCAGUGUUGAAUUUAGGCUCUUACAUGGGCCUAGCAAGAACCAAUGAGUAUAUAUUCCAUAAGGCAGUAAAUCAAGGCUGAGUACUUCACAUAUCUGUGAAAUAGGUGAUGGCUCAACCUUUGGAUUUUUCAUCCAAAAUGGAUUUCACCAUGGACAGACCUGGUGUCCUUGCUUGUCCCUCCCCUCUAUCGCAACGUACAUCCAGUUUCAUCUCUUUGGAGAUUUCUCUGGGAUGUCGUGCAAGCUUCUGAUUUGGGCAGUUGUUGGUGAUGAUUCAUGCCAGGCAUCCACACAGUGGAGCAUCUUCUCAUGAUUUUCUGGGUAUAUUUCCUUUUUUUUAGUGCAACAUGGGCAAGUUAGUGAGACCCUGUAUACAAAUUAAACACUUAAAAAAGACAGGAAAAGUAGAUCAGUGUGAAGAACGUGGCUUCAAUCUCCAGUAGAGGUGGUAGGGGGGAGGGGAGAUACAAACAAAACUAACAAGAGCGAAGCAAAGUGUAAUGCACAUACAAAACAUGUGCAGCAAGCCCAAGUAGCCAGCUUGAUGUGUACUCACAAUGUGCACACACUGUCUAUCUGCCACCCAGGUGUUACAGGGGGCCUUCAUAAUACCCCAGGAGCUUCUGUUGGGUCUCUUAGUCUUUGUUUUCAACCUUUUUAUUUUUCAUUUAAUUAUUGUGAUUACCAGUGAUAGGAUAUUAUUAUUCUGGUAAUGCUGGAGAUUGAACCCAGGGCCUUGCUCACACUCAUGUUCCACCACUGACCUAAAAACUAGCCUGGGAGGAUUUUAAAAACUUCUUUGAUGGAUUCUGCACUCUGGCUUCCAAGAUCCUGGGCAUCCCUUCACAGCCAAAUUCUGUGGGCUUUUUUCAGCCUUGUGGCAUGUGGUCCCACACACUUAGCAUUCUAGAAACUUCCCUGUCUGGCCUCUGUAACUGCCUGUCUGUGUUCCUCCAGGUCCUCUCCACUUUCUGUUUCCUUCUUCUGGACAUGUGUGUGGACAGGGUGUUCCCCUUGGUCCGGGCUUUAGCCUCCUCUUCAAGCUGUGACUGGUCCUGGUGUGUGCUGACCCUAUGCCCCUCUCCAAGCUCCAUACCUCUCUCCAGAGCUACACACUUGUGCCAACUUCCACUGGACUUCCCACUGGGAUCCCUCGGGGCAUGUCAUCCCCAACAGCCCCAGCUCUGUCUCAUCAUCCCUCCUGCCCAAGGAUGUUUCAGUCACAUUCUCUGUCAGCUUAAAGAUCAACAUCACCUGCAUGGACGCUUCACCCAAAACCCUGGCAACAUCGGAGAUGUCUCCUCUCAGAUGGUAGCAUUCCAUCUCCUUAGCAUCCCUGGAACCUGUCCUCUUUCAUACCUCACUUUUCCCUGCCUAAAUCUUCAUCAUCUUUUUCUUGAAUAGCUUAUUUCUCAUUCAUAUGACUGUUUAGCAGCAUAAUUAAUUGUAAGCAGAUUGAAGCCAUGUCCUCAAGUAUAAAGAGUGAGAUGAAAGAAUAUGAUUGGGGAAGAGGGUUCCCUGUAGGGAAGACUUCUCUGAAGAGGCCUCUCUGAGGCCUGAAGCAGGAGUGAGCUAAACCUCAAAACCUUUAGACAGCAGAUUCAUGGUUCACUGUGUGGUCUUCAGGUCUUCAAGCUGCCACUCCCUGUAAAUAUUGAGUACUUUAAUCUCAUCAAAUGCUUAAGACUCAAAAACAAAAGCCAUAUGAUAUUUCCUUCCUGUCAAUGUACCUGAUCCCAUCUGUUAAGAAAAGAUUAUUUAAUAAUAUUAGUUAAAGUACAGUAAGACUUUACCCAGGACCUUCGAGACAGGCAUAGGGACCACUGAUGCAGGGUCUUACUGUGGGGACAGCCGAGGCUCAACUCUGAGUGCAGCCUGGGCACAGGGGAUUCACAGCCAAGAGCAGGUGGGGUCAGCGGAUGGAAAGUCACUUUGGAGAUUCUGUAACCUGUGACAAGCCUCUUCCUGUGGGCAGGCCAGAGUGACCAGGCUUCACUGGGGGACCUGAUGGAACGUGAGGGGAGAUCCGAUCCAAGGGUGGAGAGGGCCUCGCUUUGUAGUCUAGGAUGACCUUGACCUUCCGGUGAUUCUCCUGCCUCAGCCUCCCAAGUGCUGGGGUCACAGUCAAAUACGGAGGAGCGCAAAAGAUCUGUCCACACACUAGAGACCUAAAGAAUACAGCUGAGGGCCUGGAUCCCACAGCAGUGUCCCCCUCGAGUCCAGCCAGAGCUCUAGAGUCCACGGCAGUGUCUCAUGCAAGUCCGUAUCGAGGAUCUGCAUCAGGAAGGCCCAACGGCCAGUCGUGGAAGCCAGAAAGUCUGCACCGUGAGGUGAAGGGUCUAUGCGACCAGGCUGAGGGAUCUGCACUGGAGCCCUGACGUGAUGCUCAGGGUGAGGACCCGAGCUCCUCAGAUGAUAACAGCUGAGUUCGUAUCAGGAAAACCAGCCACGGAAAGCUUCUCCAGAAAAAUCAACAGUAUACAGUAUUCCCCUCCAGUUCUCCUUCUACGCACUGGCAACAAUCCUCAGGUGGGUCUUCCAACCCAGAGGCACACUGACUCAGUUCGGCUGCUUCCAAGUUGACUAUUAGUUCACCACACAUCUUUUAAAAAAUAUUUUGCCCCUGAUAUAUUUUUCUCUUUUUUAUUUUUAGCUUUAUUUUGUGUGGGUUUCUAAUAAUAAUUCAGGAGACAUUUUUAUUUUUUAAACGAUUAUUUAAAACUUCGCAAUCUAGUAACUGUUUAACUUAUUCACGCGUCAUGCUUUUUCCAAAUUUGUAUCAGAGUAUUUUUCCCCUCUCAUUCUUAUACUUUCCUGCUAUUUUUAUUUUUUUCUUUUGUUAAUUUGAAAUAGUUUCUUUGCUUUUUAUCUUAGUGAUUUGGAAUCUACUCAAGAGAUGUGAUUCUACAAUAUCUCGUUAUUGUUUUUUAAUAUAUUGACCUCUAUUUUCCAAGAAUAAAACAGUAUCGUUUUGAAAUGACAGACCACGUUUUAAAGCAACGUUUGUUAGCUUACACUUGCUGGGUGGUCUGUGUGUAAAUCAAUUUUGUUCUGGUUCAGUUUAUGAAAGCAGGAGCUCGGGAUAGGAGGAGCUGAGCAGCAGAGGGCUGCGUGCACACCUCUUCGUGGUCCUCGCCGGCGUGGGGACACUGUCCUGUCCCGGCCUCACCUCGGUCCGCCCAGCCCGGUCUGUGCAGAGAGCGAUCGCUGCCGGCUGAGGCGCCCUCUCCAGGAGGUCAAAGGGAGCGGGACGGAAGCGCGCUCGGCCUGCGCAGUGUGCAAAUGUGUUCCCUGGGUGCGCAGGAGCCAGCGGCGCUGUUCUGCUUGUCUUUAGACUGCAAAAGUCAAGCUCAGGAGGGCCACAGCUGUCCAAGGUCUCAGGCUAGCCCGGCCCCCCGGACGAACCCCAGAGCCAGAGGCACAGCAGAGGCCUGACGCCGUGCCCAGGGCUACUCAACUGCCCCCUGUACGGAUUCCAGUGCGACUAACACCCGCCUGGGGAGAUCUGUCACUCCGCGAGCUCUGCACCCGCGCAGGGCCUGGGGCAGCACCGAGCCCGCCAUCGUCCUUCUGGUUCGGACGCGUUGCUCCAUUUGUCCAGCAGGUGGCGCCACACAACCGCCGGAAUCCGUGGCUUCCCAGCUCACUUUGAGAAUUAAG